CAAUAGCGUAUAUUAAAGUUGUUGCAGUUAAAAAGCUCGUAGUUGGAUUUCUGGUGGGAGCGAUCGGUCUGGCGCUUAGCGCGAGUACUUGCAUCGUCUCCGGCCAUCCUUGGGGAGAGUCUGUCUGGCAUUAGGUUGUCGGGCAGAGGAUCCUCAUCGUUUACUGUGAAAAAAUUAGAGUGUUCAAAGCAGGCUUAUGCCGUUGAAUAUAUCAGCAUGGAAUAAUAAGAUAGGACUUUGGUACUAUUUUGUUGGUUUGCGCACCAAAGUAAUGAUUAAUAGGGACAGUUGGGGGUAUUCGUAUUCCGUUGUCAGAGGUGAAAUUCUUGGAUUUACGGAAGACGAACUACUGCGAAAGCAUUUACCAAGGAUGUUUUCAUUAA
This 383-nucleotide ribosomal RNA is filed under the name uncultured eukaryote. RNAcentral describes it as "partial 18S ribosomal RNA". It matches the Rfam family "Eukaryotic small subunit ribosomal RNA", at positions 592 to 976 of the family's 1831-position model. The record is from RNAcentral.